AAUACAUGCAAGUUGAGCGCACUGGCCCAAUUAGUAUGACGUGUUUGCACUGAAUUGACGUUGGAUUACCAGUGAGCGGCGGACGCGUGAGUAACACGUGGGCAACCUGCCCUGUAGCGGGGGAUAACAUCUGGAAACAGGUCCUAAUACCGGAUAACAACGAAAACCACAUGGUUUUCGUUUCAAAGUUGGUUUCGGCUAUCACUUCAGGAUGGGCCCGCGGUGCAUUAGCUAGUUGACAAGGUAACGGCUUACCAAGGCAGAUGAUGCAUAGCCGAGUUGAGAGACUGAUCGGCCACAAUGGAACUGAGACACGGUCCAUACUCCUACGGGAGGCAGCAGUAGGGAAUCUUCCACAAUGGGCGCAAGCCUGAUGGAGCAACACCGCGUGAGUGAAGAAGGGUUUCGGCUCGUAAAGCUCUGUUGUUGGAGAAGAACGUGCGUGAGAGUAACUGUUCACGCAGUGACGGUAUCCAACCAGAAAGUCACGGCUAACUACGUGCCAGCAGCCGCGGUAAUACGUAGGUGGCAAGCGUUAUCCGGAUUUAUUGGGCGUAAAGCGAGCGCAGGCGGUUGCUUAGGUCUGAUGUGAAAGCCUUCGGCUUAACCGAAGAAGGGCAUCGGAAAACCGGGCGACUUGAGUGCAGAAGAGGACAGUGGAACUCCAUGUGUAGCGGUGGAAUGCGUAGAUAUAUGGAAGAACACCAGUGGCGAAGGCGGCUGUCUGGUCUGCAACUGACGCUGAGGCUCGAAAGCAUGGGUAGCGAACAGGAUUAGAUACCCUGGUAGUCCAUGCCGUAAACGAUGAGUGCUAGGUGUUGGAGGGUUUCCGCCCUUCAGUGCCGGAGCUAACGCAUUAAGCACUCCGCCUGGGGAGUACGACCGCAAGGUUGAAACUCAAAGGAAUUGACGGGGGCCCGCACAAG
RNAcentral lists this ribosomal RNA (926 nucleotides) under Limosilactobacillus vaginalis. RNAcentral's name for it is "bacterial SSU rRNA". It matches the Rfam family "Bacterial small subunit ribosomal RNA", at positions 50 to 929 of the family's 1533-position model. The record is from RNAcentral. Lineage: Bacteria; Bacillati; Bacillota; Bacilli; Lactobacillales; Lactobacillaceae.